RNAcentral lists this ribosomal RNA (253 nucleotides) under uncultured bacterium. RNAcentral describes it as "partial 16S ribosomal RNA". It matches the Rfam family "Bacterial small subunit ribosomal RNA", at positions 524 to 776 of the family's 1533-position model. The record is from RNAcentral.
UACGUAGGGGGCGAGCGUUGUCCGGAAUCAUUGGGCGUAAAGCGCGUGUAGGCGGCCCGGUAAGUCCGCUGUGAAAGUCCAGGGCUCAACCCUGGGAUGCCGGUGGAUACUGUCGGGCUCGAGUCCGGUAGAGGAGAGUGGAAUUCCCGGUGUAGCAGUGAAAUGCGUAGAGAUCGGGAGGAACAUCAGUUGCGAAGGCGGCUCUCUGGACCAGCACUGACACUGAGGCACGAAAGCGUGGGGAGCAAACAGG